GGGCUAUAGUGCUGGGGCUAUAGGACUGAGGCUAUAGGGCUGGGGCUAUAGGGCUGAGGCUAUAGGGCUGGGGCUAUAGGACUGGGGCUAUAGGGCUGGGGCUAUGAGGCUGAGGUUAUAGGGCUGAGGCUAUAGUGCUGGGGCUAUAGGGCUGAUGCUAUAGGGCUGAGGCUGGGGCUAUAGGGCUGAGGCUGGGGCUAUAGGGCUGAGGCUAUAGGGCUGAGGCUGGGGCUAUAGUGCUAGGGAUAUAGGGCUGGGGCUAUAGGACUGAAGCAGGGGAUAUAGGUCUGGGGCUAUAGGGCUGAGGCUAUAGUGCUGGGACUAUAGUGCUGGGGCUAUAGGGCUGAGGCUGGGGCUAUAGUGCUGGGGCUAUAGUGCUAGGGCUAUAGGGCUGGGGCUAUAGGACUGAAGCAGGGGAUAUAGGUCUGGGGCUGUAGGGCUGAGGCUAUAGUGCUGGGACUAUAGUGCUGGGGCUGGGACUAUAGUGCUGGGGCUAUAGGACUGAGGCAGGGGCUAUAGGGCUGAGGCAGGGGCUAUAGGGCUGAUGCUGGGGCUAUAGGGCUGAGGCUGGGGCUAUAGGGCUGAGGCUAUAGGACUGAGGCUAGGGCUGAGGCUAUAAGGCUGGGGCUAUAGGACUGAGGCUAUAGAGCUGAGGCUGGGGCUGAAGAAGGGCCUGGGGGUGCAUGGGGCUGAGCCAAAAGCGAUCCCUCCUCGAAGAUAACAGCCGUUCCCUAAAGGAAGGAAAGCCUGGGUGGAGCUGAAGCUGUUUCUGUUCAGGGGACUUUUCAGUGAUAGGAUACAGAUGAGCCUGGAAUGCCAGCAACAGAGCAGGCAGCAGCAGUUUAAUUCAGACGCCGAGGCCUGCUCUGCUCUUAUUAACCAGUGCAGUGAAGGAACUGUUGUUGCCUUCCUUCUUACAACAGAAAUAUACUUAUGCAAUAAGGCCAGAGGAGGUGUGGUAUAUGGCCAAUAUACCACAGCUUAGGCACAACGCAACAAAUAUAAAUUAGCUGUGGUAUAUUGGCCAUAUAGCACAAACCCCCAAGGAGCCUUAUUGCUAUUAUAAACUUGUUACCAACAUAAAUAGAGCAGUAAAACAAAAUGUUUUGUCAUACCCGUGGUAUACGGUCUGAUAUACCAUGGCUUUCAGCCAAUCAAAAUUCAGGGCUCAAACCACCCAGGUUAAAGUAUUUGUUAUACACUUAAAUUAUAAUUCAUUCCUCUGCUGUUAUCUGUUUGUUGUUUUACCAAUUUGUGAAGUGAUAGUUGACCUAAAUGGGAUGUGUUGGGAGUACAUAUGAAGGAGGUUCUCUUUGAUAUGUGAUGUUUCUGUCAUGAUGUCUAAAGUCACAGUGAGAAACCUAACCUUGGUAAUUGGUACCAGGCUAAUGCUUAGUCUGGUGUGUGAAAACUAGAGAGGGAGAACAUGGCAACAAAGAACACAUUUCUUAUUUAUGUCUCCAUUUGAAGUUUACAUUUUUUAUUGCAUGUUUCUUUAGUUGAAUAUAAAGCCUGGACAUUGUGUAGAAUCCUUUCAACCAAACUUGAAAUUCUAAUAGCAUAUUUGAAUGAGGUUUCUCUUUUUUUAUAUAUAUAUUUGAAUAAAAGCCUAUGUGUCAA
Molecule: long non-coding RNA, 1620 nt
Organism: Oncorhynchus tshawytscha (Chinook salmon)
Lineage: Eukaryota; Metazoa; Chordata; Actinopteri; Salmoniformes; Salmonidae
Source: Ensembl